RNAcentral lists this ribosomal RNA (236 nucleotides) under uncultured bacterium. RNAcentral describes it as "partial 16S ribosomal RNA". It matches the Rfam family "Bacterial small subunit ribosomal RNA", at positions 15 to 244 of the family's 1533-position model. The record is from RNAcentral.
GAUCAUGGCUCAGGAUGAACGCUGGCGGCGUGCCUAACACAUGCAAGUCGAACGGACUUACAUUGAAGCCUAGCGAUAUGUAAGUUAGUGGCGGACGGGUGAGUAACGCGUGGGUAACCUGCCUUGUACUGGGGGACAACAGUUGGAAACGACUGCUAAUACCGCAUAAGCGCACAGAUUCGCAUGAAGCGGUGUGAAAAACUCCGGUGGUACAAGAUGGACCCGCGUCUGAUUAG